UUACAGAUCCAGGCCUGUCUUCAGAAAGCAAAAUUAUCUCUCAAUAUACCUCAGAAACAAAGAUGUCUCCAUCAAGCUUAUACUCACAGCAAGUGCUAUGUUCUUCAAUACCUUUAUCAAAAAAUGUGCACAGUUUUUUCAGUGCCUUCUGCACAGAAGAGAAUAUUGAACAGAGUAUUUCAUAUCUUGAUCAGGAAUUGACAACUUUUGGUUUUCCUUCAUUAUAUGAAGAAGCCAAAGGUAAAGAGACAAAGAGAGAAUUAAACAUAGUAGCUGUUUUAAAUUGUAUGUAUGAGCUACUUGUACUUCAGCGGAAGAACCUUCUAGCUCAGGAAAAUGUGGAAACACAGAAUUUGAAACUGGGAAGUGACAUGGACCAUCUACAGAACUGCUACACAAAACUAAAGGAACAACUGGAAACCUCCAGAAGGGAAAUGAUCGGGCUUCAGGAAAGAGACAGACAAUUACAAUGCAAGAACAGGUGUUUGCAUCAGCUAUUGAAAAACGAGAAAGACGAGGUACAAAAAUUGCAAAACAUAAUUGCCAGUCGGGCUACUCAGUAUAAUCAUGAUAUGAAGAGAAAAGAGCGUGAAUAUAAUAAACUGAAGGAGCGUCUGCAUCAGCUUGUUAUGAACAAGAAAGAUAAAAAAAUAGCCAUGGAAGUUUUGAAUUAUGUGGGGAGAGCUGAUGGCAAGAGAGGCUCCUGGAGGACUGGUAAAAUGGAAGCCAGGAAUGAAGAUGAAAUGUACAAAAUUCUCUUGAAUGAUUAUGAAUAUUGUCAGAAACAAAUCCUAAUGGAAAAUGCUGAACUUAAGAAGGUUCUUCAGCAAAUGAAAAAGGAAAUGAUUUCUCUUCUUUCUCCCCAAAAGAAGAAACCCAGAGAAAGAGCAGAUGAUAGUACAGGAACUGCCAUCUCUGAUGUUGAAGAAGAUGCUGGGGAACUGAGCAGAGAGAAUAUGUGGGACCUUUCCUGUGAAACUGUGAGAGAGCAGCUCACAAACAGCAUCAGAACACAGUGGAGGAUUUUGAAAAGUCACGUAGAAAAGCUUGACAACCAAGUUUCAGAGGUACACUUAGAAGGUUUUAAUGAUGAAGAUGUAAUCUCACGACAAGACCAUGAACAAGAAACCGAAAAACUUGAGUUAGAAAUUCAGCAAUGUAAAGAAAUGAUUAAAACUCAGCAGCAACUUUUACAGCAGCAGCUUGCUACUGCAUGUGAUGAUGAUACCACUUCACUAUUACGAGACUGUUAUUUCUUGGAAGAAAAGGAACGCCUCAAAGAAGAGUGGUCCCUUUUUAAAGAGCAAAAAAAGAAUUUUGAGAGAGAAAGACGAAGCUUUACAGAGGCUGCUAUUCGCCUAGGAUUGGAGAGAAAGGCAUUUGAGGAAGAAAGAGCCAGUUGGUUAAAGCAACAGUUUUUAAAUAUGACUACCUUUGACCACCAGAACUCAGAAAAUGUGAAACUUUUCAGUGCCUUCUCAGGAAGUUCUGAUCGGGACAAUCUUAUAGCACACUCGAGGCAACGACAGAAGAAGCCUCACGGUGUGUCCAGUGGGUCUCCAGUUUGCACAUCUAAACUUACUAAAUCUCUUCCGGCUUCACCUUCGACUUCAGACUUUUGCCAGCCACGUUCCUGUGUAUCUGAACACAGUUCAGUCAAUGUACUGAACAUAUCUCCUGAAGAAACCAAGCCAAAUCAGGUUGGAAGAGAAUGUACCAAUCAGAAGUGGAGCGUGGUGUCAAGACCUGGCUCGCAGGAAGGUUGCUAUGGUGGAUGCUCCUUGACCUACACAAACUUUCACGUCGAG
Carlito syrichta (Philippine tarsier) is the source of this 1808-nucleotide RNA transcript. It is a transcript of the gene named afadin- and alpha-actinin-binding protein pseudogene, with no coding region annotated. The record is from RefSeq and is a predicted model, not a curated record. NCBI's taxonomy places the organism in Eukaryota, Metazoa, Chordata, Mammalia, Primates, Tarsiidae. The transcript has a single exon.